UACGAAGGGGGCUAGCGUUGUUCGGAAUUAUUGGGCCUAAAGCAUCCGUAGCCGGUUCUACAAGUCUUCCGUUAAAUCCACCUGCUUAACAGAUGGGCUGCGGAAGAUACUAUAGAGCUAGGAGGCGGGAGAGGCAAGCGGUACUCGAUGGGUAGGGGUAAAAUCCGUUGAUCCAUUGAAGACCACCAGUGGCGAAGGCGGCUUGCCAGAACGCGCUCGACGCUGAGGAGCGAAAGCAUGGGGAGCGAACAGG
RNAcentral lists this ribosomal RNA (253 nucleotides) under uncultured bacterium. RNAcentral's name for it is "partial 16S ribosomal RNA". It matches the Rfam family "Bacterial small subunit ribosomal RNA", at positions 524 to 776 of the family's 1533-position model. The record is from RNAcentral.